Non-coding RNA from Cinara cedri, 226 nucleotides. The record is from the annotation of a GenBank genome assembly. NCBI's taxonomy places the organism in Eukaryota, Metazoa, Arthropoda, Insecta, Hemiptera, Aphididae.
AGAAAAAAUAUCUAUCGACAAUCAAUAAUAAUGAUUAAAUAUGUACUAUAUCGUCCUAUUAUUAGUACAAUUGAACAUAAUCCUCAGCUAAACAAUACAAAUCGCACGCUAUUACAUCCAUUAUUCAUAUUAUAUUGUAUGGCUAGAAGCGGGGGAAAAAAAACGUUUGUUUUUUUUACCUAAAGAGUUUGUUUGUUUCCGCGUACAAAAAAAAAAAAAUAUAUAU